Molecule: ribosomal RNA, 635 nt
Filed under: uncultured archaeon
Lineage: Archaea
Description: bacterial SSU rRNA
Rfam family: Archaeal small subunit ribosomal RNA
Source: RNAcentral
AUUAGGUAGUUGGUUAGGUAACGGCUUACCAAGCCAUUGAUCGGUACGGGUUGUGAGAGCAAGAGCCCGGAGAUGGAACCUGAGACAAGGUUCCAGGCCCUACGGGGUGCAGCAGGCGCGAAACCUCCGCAAUGUGAGAAAUCGCGACGGGGGGAUCCCAAGUGCCAUUCUUAACGGGAUGGCUUUUCAUUAGUGUAAAGAGCUUUUGGAAUAAGGGCUGGGCAAGACCGGUGCCAGCCGCCGCGGUAACACCGGCAGCUCUAGUGGUAGCAGUUUUUAUUGGGCCUAAAGCGUCCGUAGCCGGUUUAAUAAGUCUCUGGUGAAAUCCUGUAGCUUAACUGUGGGAAUUGCUGGAGAUACUAUUAGACUUGAGACCGGGAGAGGUUAGAGGUACUCCCAGGGUAGAGGUGAAAUUCUGUAAUCCUGGGAGGACCGCCUGUUGCGAAGGCGUCUAACUGGAACGGUUCUGACGGUGAGGGACGAAAGUUAGGGGCGCGAACCGGAUUAGAUACCCGGGUAGUCCUAACCGUAAACGAUGCGGACUUGGUGUUGGGGUGGCUUUGAGCUGCUCCAGUGCCGAAGGGAAGCUGUUAAGUCCGCCGCCUGGGAAGUACGGUCGCAAGACUGAAACUUAA